RNAcentral lists this ribosomal RNA (443 nucleotides) under uncultured bacterium. Its description in RNAcentral is "bacterial SSU rRNA". It matches the Rfam family "Bacterial small subunit ribosomal RNA", at positions 958 to 1398 of the family's 1533-position model. The record is from RNAcentral.
AACGCGAAGAACCUUACCAACCUUUGACAUGUCCAGUAUGGGCCUAGGAGACUAGGCUCUUCAGUUCGGCUGGCUGGAACACAGGUGCUGCAUGGCUGUCGUCAGCUCGUGUCGUGAGAUGUUGGGUUAAGUCCCGCAACGAGCGCAACCCUCAUCUUUAGUUGCCACCAGGUAAGGCUGGGCACUCUAAAGAAACCGCCGGUGACAAGCCGGAGGAAGGCGGGGAUGACGUCAAGUCCUCAUGGCCCUUACAGGUUGGGCUACACACGUACUACAAUGGUGGUGACAGUGGGUUGCGAAGUCGCAAGAUGGAGCCAAUCCCCAAAAGCCAUCUCAGUUCAGAUUGCACUCUGCAACUCGAGUGCAUGAAGUUGGAAUCGCUAGUAAUCGCAGAUCAGCACGCUGCGGUGAAUACGUUCCCGGGCCUUGUACACACCGCUGUA